ACCCGAACUUGUCAUAACUGGAUUGGCUUCUGGGACCUCUAGCUAACAUUAUUUUUUCCAGUGGUCUACAUGCAGCUUUUUUGGAAAUGAGGAAACUGGAACUCAGAGAGGUUAGGAUGCUUGGCUAAGAACACAGCAGCAAAACUCUAGGGACUCAUACAAUGCUUCAGAAAUCCAUGUUUUGGGAAAGCUCCCAACAAAAAUCCUGGGAGUGAGACUUGCAGGAUUUUGCCAUUGCU
Long non-coding RNA from Chinchilla lanigera (long-tailed chinchilla), 239 nucleotides. RefSeq lists it as uncharacterized. Lineage: Eukaryota; Metazoa; Chordata; Mammalia; Rodentia; Chinchillidae. The record is from RefSeq and is a predicted model, not a curated record. The transcript is spliced from 3 exons.